AUUGAACGCUGGCGGCAGGCUUAACACAUGCAAGUCGAACGAGUGGCGGACGGGUGAGUAAUGCGUGGGACUCUAGCUUAUGGGGGGGGAUAACUACGGGAAACUGUAGCUAAUACCGCAUACCAUAGGAUGCGCCGAUGUGGGAUUAGGUAGUUGGUGGGGUAAAGGCUCACCAAGGCGACGAUCUCUAGCUGGUCUGAGAGGAUGACCAGCCACACUGGAACUGAGACACGGCCCAGACUCCUACGGGAGGCAGCAGUGGGGAAUAUUGCGCAAUGGGGGCAACCUGACGCAGCCAUGCCGCGUGAAUGAAGAAGGCCUUCGGGUUGUAAAGUACUUUCGGUAGAGAGGCGUUACCUGCAGAAGAAGCACCGGCUAACUCCGUGCCAGCAGCCGCGGUAAUUC
RNAcentral lists this ribosomal RNA (405 nucleotides) under uncultured bacterium. Its description in RNAcentral is "partial 16S ribosomal RNA". It matches the Rfam family "Bacterial small subunit ribosomal RNA", at positions 30 to 526 of the family's 1533-position model. The record is from RNAcentral.